AACCCCAAUGUGAACGUUACCAAUCUGUUGCCUCGGCGGGAUUCUCUGCCCCGGGCGCGUCGCAGCCCCGGAUCCCAUGGCGCCCGCCGGAGGACCAACUCAAACUCUUUUUUCUCUCCGUCGCGGCUUCCGUCGCGGCUCUGUUUUACCUUUGCUCUGAGCCUUUCUCGGCGACCCUAGCGGGCGUCUCGAAAAUGAAUCAAAACUUUCAACAACGGAUCUCUUGGUUCUGGCAUCGAUGAAGAACGCAGCGAAAUGCGAUAAGUAAUGUGAAUUGCAGAAUUCAGUGAAUCAUCGAAUCUUUGAACGCACAUUGCGCCCGCCAGUAUUCUGGCGGGCAUGCCUGUCCGAGCGUCAUUUCAACCCUCGAACCCCUCCGGGGGGUCGGCGUUGGGGAUCGGCCCCUCACCGGGCCGCCCCCGAAAUACAGUGGCGGUCUCGCCGCAGCCUCUCCUGCGCAGUAGUUUGCACACUCGCACCGGGAGCGCGGCGCGGCCACAGCCGUAAAACACCCCAAACUCUGAAAUGUUGACCUCGGAUCAGGUAGGAAUACCCGCUGAACUUAAGCAU
This 570-nucleotide ribosomal RNA is filed under the name Trichoderma reesei. RNAcentral's name for it is "eukaryotic LSU rRNA". The stretch from base 204 to 357 matches the Rfam family "5.8S ribosomal RNA". The record is from RNAcentral. Lineage: Eukaryota; Fungi; Ascomycota; Sordariomycetes; Hypocreales; Hypocreaceae.